Molecule: transfer RNA, 74 nt
Filed under: Marmota monax (woodchuck)
Lineage: Eukaryota; Metazoa; Chordata; Mammalia; Rodentia; Sciuridae
Description: tRNA.Ala
Rfam family: tRNA
About the family: Transfer RNA (tRNA) molecules are approximately 80 nucleotides in length. Their secondary structure includes four short double-helical elements and three loops (D, anti-codon, and T loops).
Source: RNAcentral
UACAGCCUGUAGCUCAGUGGUAGAGUGCUUGCCUAGCAUGCAAAAGGCCCUGGGUUCCAUCCCUAGCACUGAAA